GAUGAACGCUGGCGGCGUGCCUAAUACAUGCAAGUCGAGCGAACGGACGUGAAUCUUGCUUCUCUUAUGUUAUCGUCGGACGGGUGAGUAACACGUGGAUAACCUAUCUAUAAGACUCGGAUAACUUCUGGAAACCGGAGCUAAUACCGGAUUAUCUUUUGAACCGCAUGGUUCUAAAGUUUAAGACGGUCUUGCUUUCACUUAUAGAUGGUUCCCCGCUGCAUUAGCUAGUUGGUAAGGUAACGGCUUACCAAGGCAACGAUGCAUAGCCGACCUGAGAGGGUGGAGGGGAACACUGGAAUUGAGACCAGGUCAAGGCUCAUACGGGACGCAGCAGUAGCGAAGGUGACGCAAGGGGAGAAAGCCGGACGGAGAAACGCCGAGUGAGUGAGGAAGGUCAUCGGAUCGUAAAAGUAUAUUAUUAGGGAAGAAGAGAUGUGUAAGUAACUGUGCAGAUCUUGACGGUACAUGAUCAGAAAGCAACGGCUAACUACGUG
Molecule: ribosomal RNA, 497 nt
Filed under: uncultured bacterium
Lineage: Bacteria
Description: partial 16S ribosomal RNA
Rfam family: Bacterial small subunit ribosomal RNA
Source: RNAcentral